AGAGUUUGAUCCUGGCUCAGGAUGAACGCCGGCGGUGUGCCUAAUACAUGCAAGUCGUACGCACUGGCCCAACUGAUUGAUGGUGCUUGCACCUGAUUGACGAUGGAUCACCAGUGAGUGGCGGACGGGUGAGUAACACGUAGGUAACCUGCCUCGGAGCGGGGGAUAACAUUUGGAAACAGAUGCUAAUACCGCAUAACAACAAAAGCCACAUGGCUUUUGUUUGAAAGAUGGCUUUGGCUAUCACUCUGGGAUGGACCUGCGGUGCAUUAGCUAGUUGGUAAGGUAACGGCUUACCAAGGCAAUGAUGCAUAGCCGAGUUGAGAGACUGAUCGGCCACAAUGGAACUGAGACACGGUCCAUACUCCUACGGGAGGCAGCAGUAGGGAAUCUUCCACAAUGGGCGCAAGCCUGAUGGAGCAACACCGCGUGAGUGAAGAAGGGUUUCGGCUCGUAAAGCUCUGUUGUUGGAGAAGAACGUGCGUGAGAGUAACUGUUCACGCAGUGACGGUAUCCAACCAGAAAGUCACGGCUAACUACGUGCCAGCAGCCGCGGUAAUACGUAGGUGGCAAGCGUUAUCCGGAUUUAUUGGGCGUAAAGCGAGCGCAGGCGGUUGCUUAGGUCUGAUGUGAAAGCCUUCGGCUUAACCGAAGAAGUGCAUCGGAAACCGGGCGACUUGAGUGCAGAAGAGGACAGUGGAACUCCAUGUGUAGCGGUGGAAUGCGUAGAUAUAUGGAAGAACACCAGUGGCGAAGGCGGCUGUCUGGUCUGCAACUGACGCUGAGGCUCGAAAGCAUGGGUAGCGAACAGGAUUAGAUACCCUGGUAGUCCAUGCCGUAAACGAUGAGUGCUAAGUGUUGGGAGGUUUCCGCCUCUCAGUGCUGCAGCUAACGCAUUAAGCACUCCGCCUGGGGAGUACGACCGCAAGGUUGAAACUCAAAGGAAUUGACGGGGGCCCGCACAAGCGGUGGAGCAUGUGGUUUAAUUCGAAGCAACGCGAAGAACCUUACCAGGUCUUGACAUCCAGUGCAAACCUAAGAGAUUAGGUGUUCCCUUCGGGGACGCUGAGACAGGUGGUGCAUGGCUGUCGUCAGCUCGUGUCGUGAGAUGUUGGGUUAAGUCCCGCAACGAGCGCAACCCUUGUCAUUAGUUGCCAUCAUUAAGUUGGGCACUCUAAUGAGACUGCCGGUGACAAACCGGAGGAAGGUGGGGAUGACGUCAAGUCAUCAUGCCCCUUAUGACCUGGGCUACACACGUGCUACAAUGGACGGUACAACGAGAAGCGAACCUGCGAAGGCAAGCGGAUCUCUUAAAGCUGUUCUCAGUUCGGACUGUAGGCUGCAACUCGCCUACACGAAGCUGGAAUCGCUAGUAAUCGCGGAUCAGCACGCCGCGGUGAAUACGUUCCCGGGCCUUGCACUCACCGCCCGUCA
Molecule: ribosomal RNA, 1434 nt
Filed under: uncultured bacterium
Lineage: Bacteria
Description: bacterial SSU rRNA
Rfam family: Bacterial small subunit ribosomal RNA
Source: RNAcentral